CCAGAGUAAGCUCGAAUUCAUUUGGGUACAAGAAUGGUACGCACUCUCUCGCAACUGCUUUUCUUCAUUUGGGUUCAAUCUUCAGUGUGUUAAUUGAUGUUUUCACUGUUUAAUUUCCAAAUCCCCGUAGUAUUAAUCGAAACCGGCUUCAAUUGAAAAACCCCAAAACACAAAAUUUAGGUUUCAUGGAACAGAAGCAUAAGAUAUUGGAUAGUUCAAGUUGUGAGGAUGAAGGAAGUAGUCUUGGUCGUAAGGAAGAUAGAUUCAGUGGUCUCCCCGACGGAGUUGCUUAUCGCAUUCUUUCGUUUCUUACUAUAAAGGACGUCACUUGUUUCAGCAUUGUGUCCAAAAGAUGUAGAGAACUUUAUCUCUCAACUCCGUCAUUGGAUUUUGAAUUCAGGACUACGAGAACACCCUCGGGUGAGUAUAAGAGUUUCCGCGAGGCCACAUGUGAAGUUAGAUUGAGUUUGAUGAACUCAUUGGAUAGGUUCUUGCUUCAACGCGGGAAUAACAAGAUAGAGUACUUUCGUCUUGUGUGGGAGAAUCACUCUGUAGUCGAAGAAGACAGUGACGACCUAAGGGAUGAAGAACCAUGCUUCUGUGUUAAUGAGCGUUUCCGGAUAAUGACUUGGAUUCAUAAUGCACUGAGGUGUAAUGUUGAAGUUCUUGAUGUUAAGAGCGAUGUAGAUUAUUUUGAGGAUGAGCCGUACGCAUUGUUUCCUUCUUGUGUCUUUCUCUGUGCAACUUUGACUUCUCUAGCAGUUGAAAUGAAUCAUACAACGGUUAAAACACCUUCCGUUGCCUUUUCCUCGAAUCUUGUAGACCUGAAGUUAUUAAAUGUUGAUAUAGAAGAUGAGGGGUUUUUCAAAUGGAUCUCAUGUUCCUGCAAAUUCAUCAAGGAAAUAUAUCUUUGUGAUAUUAGUAUAACUGCUAAUAUCAUCAUCAAGAGCUCGUCUCUGGAAAAGUUUGGAUAUGUGGACGGUGGAAGGUUUACACCGAGCCAUUUUAACAUCUCAGGCGAGAAACUUGAAAUCAUAAAUAUUACCUGGAUGCUUAAUUUACCUGGUGACAAGUCGUUAAAUAUUUUUGCUCCAAGACUCAAAGAUUUAUGUUGGAGGGGGAGUCGGGUAAAUCAGGGAAACCUGGGACCUCUAGAAUGUUUAGAAAAGGCUGUUAUUUGCCUGGAGCCUAAAGCAGAUGACUCUGACAAACUGAUUAAGCAUUUUUACAGUUUACGCAGGGUUGAACGUCUUGUUUUAAAUGCAGCGACCUUGAAGGUAAUGAGAACCACAACCCUUCAUACUGAAUAUUACUUUUCAGUGGAAAAAAACUAGAUAUUUUGUUAUCCGAAAUAAUUUAAUUAUUUUGUUUCUCUCUUUACAUUUCAGUUUAAACAGGAUAACAAUACUUUUACAUUAAAAUGGUCACACUUGCUAUAACAAAAUGAGAAACAUGAUAUAGGUUUUGCCUUUAUGACAUUGCAGGCUUUGUUCAGGGAAGGGUACACGCAUGCUCAAUUUGAUCGUCUUUUUUAUUUGGAAUUGAAUCUAAGGAGCUUUUCUGAUGAUAUCUUUCCUGCAGUGGUCUCUCUAUUAAGAGGAUUGCAUAAUUUGUGUACUUUAUACAUAAGUUGUUUUGCUGUCCCAAGUUCUAAGGACCCUCAACCCAAUGUAAGUUAAGUCUAUGAUUUCCUUUCUUAAUAUCGUAAAACGUCUAUCUACUUAUGAAAUAAAAUUUGGUUCCAACUUGGGCUAGUUACAAGUAUUAUUAACCUCCAUGUCGUAUUACGUAAUAAUUUCAUUACAUCUGUUUUAAAACUUGUCUCCACAUUGCAAAAAUUGUCAAAAAACCUAAAAGAUGAAGUGUCAUGAUUUAAGUUUUAAGAUGAAAUCAAAUAAUUCUCUUAAGAAUGCAGUCUCCCAAUAUUUAUUUAGGUCCCGGUUUAAGAUAAAGUUGUUCUACACAUGGUAAAAAUUGUCGAGAAUAGUUUAUUCUUUAGAGUUCUUGUCACGUCUUUGAGCUUGUGAAUACAUAAUCACUUGUCAACAUGGACACCUUUUUGGUGAAGCCGAGCUGCUCUUAGCUUCGUUUGGUUUCUUAUUUUGUGGAAAAUUUCAAAUUGGUUGCUUGUUGACUUGUUGCUGUUGCAGUUAUCUGGGUUUGAUAAGGAAUACUGGAAGCUGCAGAAUCUGGAUUUUAUUGAUCAGAUUAAGGAGGUUACCAUAGUGCUGGAUGGGUCUAGUAACGGGAUUGAGUUUGCACGGUAUAUACUCGAGAAUGCCAAGAACCUGGAGCAAAUUCACUUACAACAUUUAUUGGAUCUGCCUGAUGAUGCUAUACAGAAGCUAAAUGAAAGUGACAUGUCCAGGGCAGCGGUUAAUUUUGAGGAAGACUACGAGGAAGACUCCGAUGAAGACUACGAGGAAGACUCCGAGGAAAACUUCGAAGAAGACAUUGAGGAAGACUAAACGAGAUAACAAAGAAAGCAGUUUUGAUGUUUUGCGGUUGUUUUUUGCUAUGAUAUUGAAACCUUAAUAUACAUGUUGAUAUACCGUCGUUAAUUCUUAUCGUCUGAAAAAAAUUCUCUGGAAUUAGAGAAAACCAAAAUCAAGGAGAAAAAGAAUUACUUCAAUCUCAUUUGGGAUUCCGAAACUUAAUUUGCAUCACGUUGCACUUUGAAACUCAAUUUUUGCAUCAUCUUGAAACUUAAUUUGCAUCACUUUAAACCGAAAUCAAAGUAGCUUGAAUUUUAAGCCUUUUAAAUCAAAACCAUGAAGUUUUAGAAUCAUAAGAUGUGAUUGAAAUUUUUAGCAACUUAAGAUCAUGCUUAAUUUUGAGUGCAAUAUUGAUAUAGAAUUUUAUCACGGUGUCGAAAAAUAAUUAUGUCUAUGUAUUAGAUGCCAGUGUAAUAUUUUUUUUUUUAAUAAAUAAUUAUUUAACUUAUUGAUGCUAUCGGUAAAAAAAAAAUUAAUGUAUGUCGAAUCAAAUUUCACUUUUCACAUUGGAACCAAUGAAAAGGGUGAUAUUUUUUACCAAACGAGAACGGACAAGGAUUGUCUGCCCUCCUUGUUCCCGUGCCCUCUUAUGUCCUCCUGUUUGUGCGGUCACUGUUAAGUCACGUCAAUAUUUUAUAUUACCAUUCAUUUUUGUCUUAUUAUCUCUAUAAAAAAAAGUAAUAUAAAAUGUUAACAUGACUUAACCGUAACCACACAAAACAGGAGGGCACGGAACAAAGUGGCAGACAAUCCUUGUCCAACGAGAACCGACACCCCGAAUCAAGACUUCAAAGAGUUAAACCCAUUUACCGUCGGAAACACCAGUCAAUCAACGCCACCCCCAAAUUAACAAAGCUAGGGUUUACCGCGCCCUUCUUCGAAUUCAUCUAACUCCAGAAUCUGUAGCACCAAGGAAGAUGGAGGCACACUCACCCAUCUGUGUUCGCACCCGCUCCUACUAACUGCACUGCCAGAGUAAGCUCGAAUUCAUCUGGGUACAAGAAUGGUACACUCUCUCGCAACUGAUUUUCUUUAUUUCGGUUCAAUCUUCAGUGUGUUAAUUGAUUUUUCAGGGUUUGGUUUUCAAAUCCCCGUAGUAUUAAUCGAAACCGGCUUCAAUUGAAAAACCCCAAAACACAAAAUUUAGGUUUCAUGGAAUUGAAGCAUGAGACAUUGGCUAGUUCAAGUUUUGAGGGUCAAGGAAGUAGUCGUAGUUGUGAGGGUGAAGGAAGUAAUCGUAGUCGUGAGGAAGACAGAUUCAGCGGUCUCCCCAACAGAAUUGCUUAUCGAAUUCUUUCGUUUCUUACCAUAAAGGACGUUGCUUGUUUCAGCAUUGUGUCCAAAAGAUGCAGAGAACUUUAUCUGUCAACUCC
This 3868-nucleotide long non-coding RNA is filed under the name Malus domestica (apple). RNAcentral describes it as "long non-coding RNA (MDOM_LNC013642)". The record is from RNAcentral. Lineage: Eukaryota; Viridiplantae; Streptophyta; Magnoliopsida; Rosales; Rosaceae.